AGGAGCAACAGCCCUAGUGGCGGGGCCAGCUCUGCAGCCCUGGAUUCAGCUCCGGCAGGAACUCCGGAGGUCUCCGUCUGCAGGGCCUGGAGGCUCCGGGGCGGG
RNAcentral lists this microRNA precursor (105 nucleotides) under Canis lupus familiaris (dog). Its description in RNAcentral is "mir-8834 microRNA precursor family". It matches the Rfam family "mir-8834 microRNA precursor family". Lineage: Eukaryota; Metazoa; Chordata; Mammalia; Carnivora; Canidae. The record is from Rfam by way of RNAcentral. RNAcentral also lists the same sequence under 1 other name.